RNAcentral lists this unclassified non-coding RNA (2287 nucleotides) under Hevea brasiliensis (rubber tree). The record is from RNAcentral. Lineage: Eukaryota; Viridiplantae; Streptophyta; Magnoliopsida; Malpighiales; Euphorbiaceae.
AAAUAAUCAAGUUACCAUACUGCAAGUCAAGAAAGUUUUAGCAGUCGGAUGAUGAUGAUUUUAAAAUAACAAGAGUAAUCAUGAUGAUCAUUAAUCAAGUCCAUCUACUAUUCAUGCAGAAAAAAAAAUCCUUUUAAGCGUAGAAAAAAGGGUGUGGUUCUUUCUUGUUUUAGUAACCUGCCCUAGCUAAUUGAUGCGAGGAUGAACUAGAAAUUCAUUCUAUGGCAGAUUAAGCGUACCCAAGUGCUCAAUUUUCCAAACUAGUUGCCGAUUCUGGAUAAGGUAAUCGACUGGCAAGAACACGUGUUUUUCAUUUCAGUGUUUUUGUCUUCUGUUUCAGUGAUUUCUUGUUUUAACCAGAGUCAGUUUAUAGUAUAUUAUGGUAUAUUCCUCCCCACUUGCCAAUUGCCAUGACUGUUGGGUCCAUCUUUGUUUGGUUGGUAAUCAUAAAAUAAAAGAAAAAAGAAACCUAAAACCUUGGAGGUCUGUUUUCUUUACUCGCUCUCGCCAGUCCCACUUGCCUUUUGUUCAUUUCGAUAUUCAAGUUGGGUUCUUAUUGUUUGUGGCUUCAAUUAUAGAAACGUGGAGAAAAUUUUUGGGUUUGCAGUUUGGUUUUGACAUUUUUUCUCAAAUAUGGGGGGAGUAUCUGUAGAUUGCUUUGCUGUAACUUCCUUGGUAUUCUUUUUGGCAACCCAAUGAAGGGUUUUGCUGUUCUGGAAGUGGGUUACUGCUAACAUGCAGUUAAUUUGGAAACCCAACUAAAUAUUGGGGUUUUAACUGUUUAAGGGCUAAGGAGGAUUGGUAAUUUGUGAUUAUUACCUCUUUUGGGGGCAGGGAUUUUCCUUUGGAAGGAAAAAAAAUUGAGAGAGAAGUUUGUUUGGAUGUGUGAUUUCUGAGGGAAGAAUAGAAAUUUUGUCAAAAUUCUUUAGUUGCAAAAAUUUCCAGAAGCUAGUAUGGCAGAAUUUAGAAGUGGCUUGUGAUUCCUGGGCGUUGAUUGAGAAAUUCUUUCAAGCUUGUUCGCUGCUUUAUUUUCUUUUUUUUGGUUUAUGAGAUGUUCUACGCGUUGAAUUACCCAUCUUAUGCAUUCAGUCAUGUAAAUUCUCAUAAAACACGUAAGGCAAGGUUGAAGCCAGUUCUAGCCAUACCCUCAUCAUCAACUGUCUUGCACACAGAUGAGAAUGGCAGUGGCUCUUCUGAUUCGUUGGUUAGUCAAGCAAAUACUGUUGGUAUAUUAGGAGGAAUAUCAGCAAAUUCUUCUCUGAAUUUCCUGAAAAAAGUAGUCCAGUGGAGUACAAAAGAUGGUCAAGAUUGCUUUCCAUUUGUUCUUUGCUCUGAUCCAGUGUUAAAUAAGAAGCUUUUAUUACAUGAAAGAGAGUCUUUUCCCUCUCUUGGUAGGGGAAAUGAACAUUCUCAAUUGGAUCAUACUCCAAUUUUGGAGAAUCUACAGAGGAAGAGGUUUUUUCUUGAGAAAUCAGGAGCUCACUGUAUUGUAAUGCCUUGUCAUAUUUCACAUGCUUGGCAUGAUGAGAUCUCAAAGGGGAGUUCUGUUCAUUUACUUCAUAUGGGUGAGUGUGUUGCUAAGGAGCUUAAGGAAGCUAAGCUGAAGCCACUAGAAGCAGGAAGUCCUUUGCGGAUUGGGGUGCUAGCAACCCAUGCUACUUUGAAUGCGGGUUUCUAUCAAGAGAAACUGCAGUGCGAGAUGUGUAGGUGCCAACUGCCAUGUCUAGCACUCUUGGUUUUGAUAUUUACAAAGAGCAUGGUGAAGAGACUGGUGGAUUUCAUGGAGUGUCAUGUUCAGUGCCCCUAGAGUUCUCAUAUGUCCUGCUCUUAGUGCUGGAUGGAGAUUUUGCAUGAUGAAGAAACAUGAAAUUCAGAUGAUAUAAUGGAAGAAUUAGGGGUUUGAGGUUGUGCUACCAGAUAAAGCAACCAUGGAACACGCUGUAAUUCCUGCAAUUGAAGCUUUAAACAGAAGGGAUAUGAAAGGGGCAAGGAAUCUGCUGAGAAUAGCAGUCCAGGUUCUUCUAGUGAGGGCAGUGAAUACUGUUAUCCUUGCCUCUGAUGAUCUGUGUGAUCUUUUGCCUCAGGAUGAUCCUCUUCUCAAGAAAUGUAUUGAUCCAAUCGAUGCAUUGGCCCGUUCAACUAUCAAGUGGGCACAAGCUGCUGGAACAGGUACAUAGUUGAAACUGAGAACGUGCCUAUUCUGUUCUUUAAUUUUGCUUUUCUGUUGUGUAUAAAAAUGCAGUCAUUAUUUGGAAACUUUAAUUUAUGGUUAUUGUCAUGCUUGGGA